ACGCAGGCCGCCUAAUACCACUGCCGAAGGCAGGAGAUCUCGUAUGAUGGCUUAGUUCUUGGUGGGUUUGGAUGUGGAGCGGUGAAGGAGAAUUGGGGUCAUGGAGUUUGGUUGACAGAAGAGAGUGAGCACCCAUGGUGUUUUCCUGCAUGAAGAGGGUUCAUGCUCGAAGCUAUGCGUGCUCACUUCUCUAUCUGUCAACCAUCACCGGGUUGUGGUGUUUCUCUGCCCUUCUUCUCGCGAAAGAUGCAGCUGUCAAUUUGCGUUGUCUCUGUUAGGCCUCGCCUCGUGCAUGGCGAUCGAGUAACAGUAGCAUGCACAUAUAAUACGAUUAACAGCACGUUAAUUAGGACCGUCAUACUGAUUAGAUUUUGUCUCUUUGUUUUCUCUUUCGUAUGCUCGUCAUCAGAUCUUUCGUUUCGCCUGUUCGUCAUGCUGUGUGCUUACUUUUGCUUCUUUUUGCAAGAUGAAUCCGGCUGUUUCUUGAGAUGAAGAAUUCCCUGCUUCGGGAUCCGGACGAGCUAUCGAGUUGCUGAUGCGUUAGAACGUCCUUCUUUCUUCCUUCUCCGUGAUUCGUUUUCUCUGUGCGCAAUGAAACGUGCGUGGCGAGCAGUAUAAAGAAAGAUCAGCAAAAACGUGAUGGAUCAUAAAUGAUGGGGAAGAAACUAUCAGAUUCACUACAUAAAGGACGAGAAAGAAUGCUGCAGCGAAGUGAUGAGAGAUGCGCGAUUAGAAUUGAUGACACCGAAGAAGCAAAAGAAGAGGAGGGCAAAAAGCAAUGAUGGGAGGAUCUCAUUUCCAAGUCAAAUCAUCACUACAGUUGGAUACUUACUGCACACUUUCUUCGUAUCCUUCUGGAGAUGCUUAUCCCUUUCUUUGUGAUACAACUCAGUCAACAGUGUGCUUUUCCUCAGUUCUCAUCAAACAUUUAUGAUGUUUUCUAAAA
Musa acuminata AAA Group (dessert banana) is the source of this 946-nucleotide long non-coding RNA. RefSeq lists it as uncharacterized. NCBI's taxonomy places the organism in Eukaryota, Viridiplantae, Streptophyta, Magnoliopsida, Zingiberales, Musaceae. The transcript has 2 exons. The record is from RefSeq and is a predicted model, not a curated record.